GACGAACGCUGGCGGCGUGCCUAAUACAUGCAAGUUGAGCGCUGAAGGUUGGUACUUGUACCAACUGGAUGAGCAGCGAACGGGUGAGUAACGCGUGGGGAAUCUGCCUUUGAGCGGGGGACAACAUUUGGAAACGAAUGCUAAUACCGCAUAAAAACUUUAAACACAAGUUUUAAGUUUGAAAGAUGCAAUUGCAUCACUCAAAGAUGAUCCCGCGUUGUAUUAGCUAGUUGGUGAGGUAAAGGCCCACCAAGGCGAUGAUACAUAGCCGACCUGAGAGGGUGAUCGGCCACAAUGGGACUGAGACACGGCCCAAACUCCUAAGGGAGGCAGCAGUAGGGAAUCUUCGGCAAUGGAGGAAAGUCUGACCGAGCAACGCCGCGUGAGGGAAGGAGGUUUUCGGAUCGUAAAACUCUGUUGGUAGAGAAGAACGUUGGUGAGAGUGGAAAGCUCAUGAAGAGACGGUAACUACCCAGAAAGGGACGGCUAACUACGUG
RNAcentral lists this ribosomal RNA (497 nucleotides) under uncultured bacterium. Its description in RNAcentral is "partial 16S ribosomal RNA". It matches the Rfam family "Bacterial small subunit ribosomal RNA", at positions 28 to 507 of the family's 1533-position model. The record is from RNAcentral.